RNAcentral lists this transfer RNA (73 nucleotides) under Pangasianodon hypophthalmus (striped catfish). It matches the Rfam family "tRNA". From Rfam's summary of the family: Transfer RNA (tRNA) molecules are approximately 80 nucleotides in length. Their secondary structure includes four short double-helical elements and three loops (D, anti-codon, and T loops). Further hydrogen bonds mediate the characteristic L-shaped molecular structure. tRNAs have two regions of fundamental functional importance: the anti-codon, which is responsible for specific mRNA codon recognition, and the 3' end, to which the tRNAs corresponding amino acid is attached (by aminoacyl-tRNA synthetases). tRNAs cope with the degeneracy of the genetic code in two manners: having more than one tRNA (with a specific anti-codon) for a particular amino acid; and 'wobble' base-pairing, i.e. permitting non-standard base-pairing at the 3rd anti-codon position. Lineage: Eukaryota; Metazoa; Chordata; Actinopteri; Siluriformes; Pangasiidae. The record is from Rfam by way of RNAcentral.
GCCCCAGUGGCCUAAUGGAUAAGGCACUGGCCUCCUGAGCCAGGGUUUGUGGGUUCGAGUCCUGUCUGGGGUG